Molecule: ribosomal RNA, 416 nt
Filed under: uncultured prokaryote
Description: bacterial SSU rRNA
Rfam family: Bacterial small subunit ribosomal RNA
Source: RNAcentral
GUGUCAGCCGCCGCGGUAAGACGGAGGAGGCAAGCGUUAUCCGGAAUUAUUGGGCGUAAAGGGUCCGCAGGUGGCUCGCUCAAGUCUGCUGUCAAAGGUCGGGGCUUAACUCCGAACAGGCAGUGGAAACUGAAGUGCUCGAGUGCGGUAGGGGCAGAGGGAAUUCCUGGUGUAGCGGUGAAAUGCGUAGAGAUCAGGAAGAACACCGGUGGCGAAAGCGCUCUGCUAGGCCGCAACUGACACUCAGGGACGAAAGCUAGGGGAGCGAAUGGGAUUAGAUACCCCAGUAGUCCUAGCUGUAAACGAUGGAUACUAGGCGUUGCUUGUAUCGACCCAAGCAGUGCCGUAGCUAACGCGUUAAGUAUCCCGCCUGGGGAGUACGCACGCAAGUGUGAAACUCAAAUGAAUUGACGGGG